This 499-nucleotide ribosomal RNA is filed under the name Salmonella enterica subsp. enterica serovar Enteritidis. RNAcentral describes it as "partial 23S ribosomal RNA". It matches the Rfam family "Bacterial large subunit ribosomal RNA", at positions 140 to 681 of the family's 2925-position model. The record is from RNAcentral. Lineage: Bacteria; Pseudomonadati; Pseudomonadota; Gammaproteobacteria; Enterobacterales; Enterobacteriaceae.
UCGUCACACUAUCAUUAACUGAAUCCAUAGGUUAAUGAGGCGAACCGGGGGAACUGAAACAUCUAAGUACCCCGAGGAAAAGAAAUCAACCGAGAUUCCCCCAGUAGCGGCGAGCGAACGGGGAGGAGCCCAGAGCCUGAAUCAGCAUGUGUGUUAGUGGAAGCGUCUGGAAAGGCGCGCGAUACAGGGUGACAGCCCCGUACACAAAAGCGCAUGUGCUGUGAGCUCGAUGAGUAGGGCGGGACACGUGGUAUCCUGUCUGAAUAUGGGGGGACCAUCCUCCAAGGCUAAAUACUCCUGACUGACCGAUAGUGAACCAGUACCGUGAGGGAAAGGCGAAAAGAACCCCGGCGAGGGGAGUGAAAAAGAACCUGAAACCGUGUACGUACAAGCAGUGGGAGCACCCUUUGGGUGUGACUGCGUACCUUUUGUAUAAUGGGUCAGCGACUUAUAUUCUGUAGCAAGGUUAACCGAAUAGGGGAGCCGGAGGGAAACCGAG